GCAGGUAGCCUAGUGGUUAGAGCAUUAGGCCGGUAACCUAAAGGUUGCUAGUUUGAAUCUGUUGAUCUGCC
RNAcentral lists this transfer RNA (71 nucleotides) under Salmo salar (Atlantic salmon). It matches the Rfam family "tRNA". Rfam says of the family: Transfer RNA (tRNA) molecules are approximately 80 nucleotides in length. Their secondary structure includes four short double-helical elements and three loops (D, anti-codon, and T loops). The record is from Rfam by way of RNAcentral. Lineage: Eukaryota; Metazoa; Chordata; Actinopteri; Salmoniformes; Salmonidae.